UGGCAACAACCCGCUCUGCGUCCAAGGAGUUGGAACGGUUCAAGCAACCACAUUGUCUCCAGUCAAAACCUCAGUUAUGAUCAUAAUUAUUAUAAUUCCUUCUAUUCAGAAAAUCAAUCACAGUG
Molecule: small RNA, 125 nt
Filed under: Histoplasma capsulatum var. duboisii H88
Lineage: Eukaryota; Fungi; Ascomycota; Eurotiomycetes; Onygenales; Ajellomycetaceae
Description: Histoplasma capsulatum H88 hypothetical RNA
Source: RNAcentral